Long non-coding RNA from Anguilla rostrata (American eel), 305 nucleotides. RefSeq lists it as uncharacterized. The record is from RefSeq and is a predicted model, not a curated record. The transcript has 4 exons. Lineage: Eukaryota; Metazoa; Chordata; Actinopteri; Anguilliformes; Anguillidae.
CUGGCGCAAAUUUCUUUUACGUUGAGUCCAAUGUGGAUUUGCAUAUUUACAUAUAUGGACAUAUUAAUUUCCCCCCUUUACACUGGGGGGACUAAUUAAUGGGCAAAAUUACGGUAUUUGAGCUUUUAUUUUCAAAUGUCAUCUAGUUCAAGGACACCAUUCGUUGUAGAUGACUUCACGUGUACCAAUUUAAACAGAGAGAGUGUGAAUGGAGAUACAAGUGGACAGAUCACAAUGUCUUCUGGAGGAGCUCCUGAGAUUGAUCCUGAUGCUGAUUUUGUAUACGACUAUCACACCCUGCGCGU